Molecule: ribosomal RNA, 406 nt
Filed under: uncultured bacterium
Lineage: Bacteria
Description: partial 16S ribosomal RNA
Rfam family: Bacterial small subunit ribosomal RNA
Source: RNAcentral
AUUGACCGCUGGCGGCGUGCCUAACACAUGCAAGUCGAACGAGUGGCGGACGUGUGAGUAAUUUCUUGGAAACUGCCUGAUGGAGGGGGCUAACUACUGGAAACGGUAGCUAAUACCGCAUAUCAUCGGAUGUGUCCAGAGUGGAUUAGGUAGUAGGUUGGGUAAAGGCUCACCUAGGCGACGAUACCUAGCUAGUCUGAGAGGAUGACCGGCCACACUGGAACUGAGACACGGUCCAGACGCCUACGGGAGGCAGCAGUGGGGAAUAUUGCACAAUGGGCGCAAGCCUGAUGCAGCCACGCCGCGUGUAUGAAGAAGGCCUUCGGGUUGUAAAGUACUUUCAGCGGGGAGGCGUUACUCGAAGAGGAAGCACCGGCUAACUCCGUGCCAGCAGCCGCGGUAAUAC